This 460-nucleotide ribosomal RNA is filed under the name uncultured bacterium. RNAcentral's name for it is "partial 16S ribosomal RNA". It matches the Rfam family "Bacterial small subunit ribosomal RNA", at positions 338 to 795 of the family's 1533-position model. The record is from RNAcentral.
CCUACGGGUGGCUGCAGUGAGGAAUAUUGGUCAAUGGACGAGAGUCUGAACCAGCCAAGUAGCGUGAAGGAUGACUGCCCUAUGGGUUGUAAACUUCUUUUAUAAAGGAAUAAAACGAGGCACGUGUGCCUUUUUGCAUGUACUUUAUGAAUAAGGAUCGGCUAACUCCGUGCCAGCAGCCGCGGUAAUACGGAGGAUCCGAGCGUUAUCCGGAUUUAUUGGGUUUAAAGGGAGCGUAGAUGGGUUGUUAAGUCAGUUGUGAAAGUUUGCGGCUCAACCGUAAAAUUGCAAUUGAUACUGGUAGUCUUGAGUACAUUUGAGGUAGGCGGAAUUCGUGGUGUAGCGGUGAAAUGCUUAGAUAUCACGAAGAACCCCGAUUGCGAAGGCAGCUUACUAAACUGUGACUGACAUUGAUGCUCGAAAGUGUGGGGAUCAAACAGGAUUAGAUACCCUUGUAGUC